Molecule: small nuclear RNA, 104 nt
Filed under: Laticauda laticaudata (blue-ringed sea krait)
Lineage: Eukaryota; Metazoa; Chordata; Lepidosauria; Squamata; Elapidae
Source: RNAcentral
CUACUUCAGCAGCACAUAUACUAAAAUUGGAAUGAUACAGAGAAGAUUAGCAUGGUCCCUGCACAAGGAUAACAUGCAAAUUUUGUGAAGUGUUCCAUAUUUUC